UUGGGUAAGCUGGUGCAAGCGUACGAUUUUUAUUGCCUCUUACACUUUGAGAAGCGAAUAAUCUUUAGCUACAUUGUACAUUAUUUAAAUAUUGUGUAAAAACGUUAAUUAUGAGCUAUGAAAGUCGAGUGGCUCGAGCAUUUUUCUGAGGAAGUUUUAAAAAAUUGCAAAGAAAUAUUUUAACAGUGGGUUAGCUUUCAUUAGUCUUCACUAUCUAUAGAUUAACAACUUUUGGUUAUAUUUACAAUUUAGAAUCAUCAUUGCAGGUGGAGCAUGAUUGCACAGUUAAUUAAUUAUAUUGAUGUGCCAUUUGUAUGCAAGAGUGACAUUCUGUUUUAUUAUGUGCCAAUUCGAAAAAGUUAUGCGAGUAUUG
This 373-nucleotide long non-coding RNA is filed under the name Mytilus galloprovincialis (Mediterranean mussel). Lineage: Eukaryota; Metazoa; Mollusca; Bivalvia; Mytilida; Mytilidae. The record is from RNAcentral.